UGGGGAAUAUUGGACAAUGGGCGCAAGCCUGCUCCAGCCAUGCCGCGUGAGUGAUGAAGGCCCUAGGGUUGUAAAGCUCUUUCACCGGUGAAGAUAAUGACGGUAACCGGAGAAGAAGCCCCGGCUAACUUCGUGCCAGCAGCCGCGGUAAUACGAAGGGGGCUAGCGUUGUUCGGAUUUACUGGGCGUAAAGCGCACGUAUGCGGACUAUUAAGUCAGGGGUGAAAUCCCGGGGCUCAACCCCGGAACUGCCUUUGAUACUGGUAGUCUUGAGUUCGAGAGAGGUGAGUGGAAUUCCGAGUGUAGAGGUGAAAUUCGUAGAUAUUCGGAGGAACUCCAGUGGCGAAGGCGGGUCGCUGGGUCGAUACAGACGCUGAGAUGCGAAAGCGUGGGGAGCAAACAGG
RNAcentral lists this ribosomal RNA (404 nucleotides) under Actinomycetes bacterium. Its description in RNAcentral is "Actinobacteria bacterium partial 16S ribosomal RNA". It matches the Rfam family "Bacterial small subunit ribosomal RNA", at positions 355 to 776 of the family's 1533-position model. Lineage: Bacteria; Bacillati; Actinomycetota; Actinomycetes. The record is from RNAcentral.